RNA transcript from Rosa chinensis, 5050 nucleotides. RefSeq lists it as uncharacterized. The transcript is spliced from 6 exons. NCBI's taxonomy places the organism in Eukaryota, Viridiplantae, Streptophyta, Magnoliopsida, Rosales, Rosaceae. The record is from RefSeq and is a predicted model, not a curated record.
GGGAAAGCUGCUCACGGCGCGAGAAUACUCCCGUCACUCUUUCCUUGGCAUGUUCCGAUCUGCAUGGCGGAUCAAUGGCAGACUGAGCGUUGAAGAAGUUGGAGAAGAUGACAGGGUCCUGUUCACUUUCACAGAUCCCUCUGAUGUGGAUAGGGUUUGGAAAGGUGGACCGUGGGGCUACAACAGGGCUCCUGUAGCACUAGCGCCGUACAACGGUAUCAGUCCGGCAAGCGAGAUACCACUGAAGAAAUCAUCCUACUGGAUGACGCUGCAAGGAGUACCGCCGGCGUUCAGGUCUGAGCGUAUUAUGCACCCGAUCGGUAGUACGCUGGGAGAUUUCAAGGAGUUUGAUCGUCCGACUUUCCAGACCCGAGUCCUGCGCAUCAGGGUCAAGAUCGACUAUGCCAAGCCUCUCUUGUUUUGUCGCCGCUUCUGGGUGGAAGAUGAAGUUCAAUUUAUGGUGCAAUUUCGGUACGAUAAGUUGUUUGGCAGAUGCGGUACCUGUGGCCUAGUUACCCACGUUGGCCUUCCUUGUUUAGGGCCGGAUCUGGAAGAAGAUAGUGAUACACCAGUUGGAGCGGUAGCGCAGCCCACGGCCUUGGCAAUGCUACCGGGACAAGAAAACCCUAAUAACAAUAGGGUGGUGGUAAACAAUCAAACCUUGAUCUUCAAGGCUCAGAUACCAAAUAGCAUACCGAAAGCUUUGAAAGGCUCAACAUCAUCUUCAUCGACCCCCCAUUCCCUCCGAGCGACGAACUGAACACAGACCGGGUCGGAUUAUCGGGUGCACAAUUUUUCGGGUCCUCGUCCUUACCCAUCUAAACCUAACCCACCCCACACCAUCGUUCUCUUAAUAUUUUGGGUCCUGGAAUUACAAUCUGAACCGCCCAAGUCCAGGUUUCUCACCCGAAUUCAACACAUGGCGUCGUAAUCUGAAACAGGUGGAAAUUAGGGCUUUUUGAUUGUCAAUGUUGGUGGUUUUUGGGCAUUGUAUGAGUUUUGGAUUCAGUUGAAUAGUUGAGGAUCCUAUGUUAAGGAUCCACUGCAUGAUAGGCUAGUUAUAUCGAAAAUGUCUUUGUGUUCGAAUGAGCAGUCAAUCGGAGUUGGGUGUAUUAGUGGUCAGAAGGUUGCUGUGGAUAGGGAGAACUUGAAUGGACAUGAUGAGAGUGUUUUGAGAUGCGAGGAGGAAGAGGAUGAGGAUGAGGAUGAGGAGGAAGAUGUGGAUUUCAAUCCUUUUCUUAAAGGAGCUGUUUCGCCAGAGGCUUCUUCGAGUCUGAGCUCCGAAGUGGAGGGUAUAGAUGGUGAAGCUGAUGACGUCGGUGGAAACGAUGGCGUUGACUCGUUGAAUGUAGGUUGUGAGGGGGAGACGCGUGCUGCUGAAGAUUCUGAGCAUGGGGAGCAAGAAAUGGUGAUGCAAACUGCUGCUGCUUCUUCUGAAGAUGUGUCGGAAAAUGAAUUAGGGAACUUUGAUUCCGGAAUUGAACAUGUGGAAGAAAAGGAUGAUGGCUCAAGUUUGGGACCUGAUGUUAAUCAUGUUACUGAAGGUCAGUUAAGUAGCAAACAAAGCAGACACCAGGACGUCCACAAUAGAUCUAGAUGAUGAGGCUGAAGAUGCUAUCUGUAAACGCACACGGGCCCGCUAUUCCUUAGCAAGUUUCACUCUUGAUGAACUUGAAACUUUUCUUCAAGAAACAGACGAUGAUGACAACCUCCAAAAUGUUGAUGAUGAAGAAGAGUACAGGAAAUUUCUCACCGCUGUUUUACGUGGUGGAGAAGGUGAUAACUGAUAACCAGUUGACUAAAGAAAAUGAAAAUGCUGCUGAUGAUGAAGAUGAGGAGAAUGAUGCAGACUUUGAAUUAGGACUAGAAGAGCUUCUUGAUAGUGAUGUGGAUGAAAAUACAAGGGGUAAAAGUAUAGUGUAUGAGGGAGCUGGAAGGCGACCAAAGACUUGACAGAAUAGAAAGUUCCCUGCUGGGUCUAAGAAGAGUUUAGGACAGACAAAGAGGUCAUUGCGUCCCCUUUUACCAGUUUUGCCACAUGGACCAAUUUCCACUUUUUAUACUCAUGACACGAGAACUUUAAUACCUGGGAUUGCUUCAAGCUGUAUGUCUUCUACAAUGGAUGAUCGUUCUAAAAGUGGAUUCACUGCUCACCAGAUAGGCCAGUUGUACCAUUUGGUCCAUGAACAUGUGCAGCUGCUUAUUCAAGUAUUUUCUCUGUGUACUUGAUAACUCCAGGCAACAUAUUGCCUCUCAGGUUCGGAGAUUGAUCUGUGAGAUGCUCCACAAGCGUGAUGAAGUACUGGCAUGGAAAAAUGUACCAUAUCCAAAUAUUUGCUUUUGCCCAUCAAUGCCAACUGAAACACCUCAAUCCUACCCGAUACAAAGCACUUUAGUGUCAUCCCACACAUCUGAUGCGCAUGCAGCGUCUUCUCCUUCCAAUAAGCAGAUGUUAGUUUCCCCAAAUGUCUCUCCUUUCUGGGUGCCUUCUGUAAAUGGCCCUGUGCUAUCUGUCCUGGAUGUAGCUCCACUUAGUUUGAUUGGGAGAUACAUGGAUGAUAUUGAUACUGCUGUCCAGGGGAAUCGAUGGCGUUUCAAGGAAACUAUUUCUGAUAUUUGCCUUGAAAAAGAGCCUUUGUUUCCCCUUCCUAACUUCCCAUCAUGUGCUCAAGCCUGUGAAGUUGUAAGUGGGAUGGGUUCCUCAGCUGUCAAUGUGGUUCCAUCUUCACCUAGUCAACCACCAAAGAAGUCACUGGCUACAGCAAUUGUUGAAAGUACCAAGAAGCGAUCAAGUGCUUUAGUCCCAAGGGAAAUCGCAAACUUGGCCCAGAGAUUUUAUCCUCUGUUUAAUCCAGCAUUAUAUCCCCAUAAGCCACCCCGCGCCCCCCUGCAGCUGUCACAUCGGGUGCUUUACACUGAUGCAGAAGAUGAGUUAUUAGCAUUGGGGUUAAUGGAAUAUAAUACUGAUUGGAAGGCAAUCCAACAACGUUUUCUUCCUUGCAAAUCUAAGCACCAGUGCCUGUAGAUGCUUGCUUUGGUGUCAAAUCACAUAUUUUCCCCAGAUCUGGAGCAUUGUCAUUGCCAGCAAUAAUCUGUUGAUUCUCUUUAGGAGUACUCCGUGAGCUCAUGACAUCUACACCUCUGGGCUUUUGGAACCCUUGUUGCUUGAAAGAGAUACCAGCUGGUAGAACUUGUGUUAUGCUGAAAGAGCUUCCAGUAUUGUCAUUAAUCAAUUGUGUCCAGGACGAUUUCUGGCGCCAUGAAGCUCCUCUACCUGACUUAGUUGAGUUUGAUAGUGCAUUUUGAGGUUGAUGAUCCGCAUUCUCCUCCACCGGUUCCAUCUCACAGAGCUGGCCUUCCAAGUUUCCAUCCCUUGCCAAGUCCUGGUUUUUGCUGUCAGAAUGGGGCACUUCAAAAGCACCAGAACCAGAGUUUGGCUGGGUCUGUUCAGUUACACUCCCAGUAUUCUCAUCAGUCAAUUGUGUCAGAGAUAAUUCCUGAUGCCAUGAAGGAACUCUACCCGACUCAUAUGAGUCAGAUACCGACUUGGUAGGUUUAUGCUCUGAUCUUCCCUUAAGUGGUUCCAUCUCAAACAGCAGUUCUUCUGAGUUUCCGUCACUUGCCAGGUCCUCAGACUGGUGCACAUCGGAACUGCCAGAUUUGGGCUCGAUUUGGUCACUAGAAGAAGAUCUGCUUGUCAGUAUAUGUGAGACACUGAACCCACUGUUGUCCCUAUGACCGACAAGUUGUCUCCAUGAACAUUUCUGAGACCAUGAAACCGGGGCAGUGGAUUGUUGGACACCCAGCUCUGGUUUAUCUGGUUGAGAUUUAGAAUCGGUCUUUGAGCCAGGGAUAUCAGGCUCCAAUUCUAUUUCAUUGUAAUUCUUGUUGAGAAGGGAUUUCCUCUUUUUGUUAGGAGGUCCAUUAAUCUUACUGCACACCUGUGUUCCGCUGGAUCUCAAUUCCUCCAAGGCCGAUACUAUGUUUUCUUCAUGUUUACUUGACACAAUAUUAAUUAUGAGGUCGUCUUCCUCAGCUUCCGCUUCAGUAGGAAGAUGAAGCUCACGAUGUUGUUGACUAGGCAGAGGGGAGGCGGUAGUAUUGUGAUCAGCAUCAUCAGAAACAUGUUCCAAUUCCUUUUGUAAGAGCUUGUCCAUUACUUUAUUCAUUAUGCUAAGCUCUUUGUCAUUGAUAACAUGGUCAGGUAAUUGGUUUUGUUGAUCAGGAGAAGGGUCAGAAACAGCAUGCUCUUCACAGUCACAGAAAUGAAGGGGGAGAGAAGGAACUUGAACACGUUGGAAACUGUAUUUGUGCUUGCCAGUUCCACUAAAGGGCAAAGCUUUCACGGUUCUUAGAGCAGGAAAGAAUAAGCGAAGCUGCUUGGUGCUGUGUUGUGAAGCAGUUUUAGCUUCUUGGGUGGUGUGCUGCUUAAUUUCAGCAGCAAGUUGAGCAUUUCCUUGUUCAGCCCAUUCUCGUCUCAAACGAACAAGAUAAUGUUCUUUAGCCUUGUGGAGCUUCAGCUUCAUGCCCUUCCAAACGCACCCAUUAUACGUGGCGAAGAGCUUGGAGAGGGACUUGUCUGAGCAAGGCAGAAAGUCGACGUAAGUAAAGCUAUGGCCUUUGGUUCUGAUUAUAUCGAUUCCGUCGAUGCUUCCUCCAACUCCGGUGAACAGGCUUUGCAGAUCGUCUUCCGUCACGCUCUCUCCCAAACCCCCCAACGAAUAUUCGCUCUCUUCCUUGUUGUUUCACUUCCAUUUCAACAGAUUCUUUCUCACGAGUCACUUCUCUCCUCUCUUGCAUUCUUAUUACCACAUGCUAAGUUCCUAACUAUUCAAGAUGCAGAAGUAUUAUACAUUGUAGCCUUCCAUUCCGCAGGUUUCUAGGCUAUGUGAUGCAAGUCAGAACUGCAGCUUGUUCUUGCUGUUUGUCUCUGCAUUGCUCAUUCUUGUUUUUGCUAACACAUAGAGAAGCCACAUAUUUUUGCCAAAAUGAAGUUAAAAUACUGGAGUUUAUUAUGUUUAACCGUAAAAUGCUGGAGUACUUAGUAGUA